GUGCUCGCUUCGUAGCACAUAUGCUAAAAUUGGAACGAUACAGAGAAGAAUUAGCAUGGCCUCUGUGCGAGGAUGACACCCAAAUUUGUGAAGCAUUUCAUAUUUUU
Small nuclear RNA from Pipistrellus kuhlii (Kuhl's pipistrelle), 107 nucleotides. NCBI's taxonomy places the organism in Eukaryota, Metazoa, Chordata, Mammalia, Chiroptera, Vespertilionidae. The record is from RefSeq and is a predicted model, not a curated record.